This 1037-nucleotide long non-coding RNA is filed under the name Populus trichocarpa (black cottonwood). Its description in RNAcentral is "long non-coding RNA (PTRI_LNC003805)". The record is from RNAcentral. Lineage: Eukaryota; Viridiplantae; Streptophyta; Magnoliopsida; Malpighiales; Salicaceae.
UGGACUAUGUCAUUUUUUCUAUUUUUUACUAUGCUAAUUUUUUAUUAAAAAAAUCCCAAAACCCCACUACUGCCGUAUUGAUUAUGCUCUAAUCCUUUUCUUUUUAUUAGGGCAUCGAAUAUUGUGUUCUAUAUUGGUGGUGCAAUUGUGAGUAUUGAUCCACAAAUUAAAGAUGCUCGUAUUAUAAUGAGAUUUUUCAAUCACAUGUAUAGAAAAUAAAUCUUUGGAUACAAGUAUAUGCUUGUUGCUUCGAGACAUUAUAUUCUCUUUAUAUGAUCAUGAAUAGCACUCCUCUCUUUCCUGUAAAUUAUUAAUGAAUAUUUUUCAUAAUGUGUCUUAGAUUCAUGUGAUAAAAAAAAGGGGAGAUGGCAUUAAAUUUGUUUAUCUGAUACCAGUUAAAUCUUGAUCAGACUGACCUCGUACACAUGAAAUCUAGAUGGAGAUGCUUGCUUUGCAUGUUGGGGCCCUGAUCUUAUUCCUCCUCGGACAUGGCCGGAUUGUAUUGCAGCACAAACUACGAUCUUGGAUCAUGGUGUUACGAUAUCACCGGGAACAUUUUUCAGAGACAUCUCGUUUAACAAGCAAUCAUUUUGCAUCCUUUGAUUCAGAUGUUCUCAUCAUUUCAAUUUUUCAUUUCUAAUUCUCACAUAAAUGUGCUCAGGAAUCGUCUCCUGAGCAUAAAUGUCAUUAAUUGUUUUAUAAUCCUUGACAUGUUUCCAAGCGUUACAGAAGGGGAAGAUCAUCUUGCCAUUACAAGUGCUAUUCAAAGGUAAAUUUCAUCUUGUCAAUUAACCUCCAACAAAACAAUUGCUAGUCUUGGUUCUUAGCUCAAAUACCCUUUUAUUUUCAUAGCUAAAACUCUCUUUUCUUUCUCUAUCUCUCCCUCUCUCUCUGGGUUUUUUUUGUUUUCUCUUCUUUUUCUUUCUUUCUUCUUCCUUUUCUUCAUAACUAUCAUCAAUCCCAUUUAAGCUUAACUCUCUUUUUUAUUUUUAUUUCUCUCCAUCGUAGUUUCUUCCUCUCACAUGGGCCCUUUUUUC